ACACGAACACUGUCUGAAGGUUGCAGUCUGAGUCGAUUUAUUUAAUCGUUAAAACUUUCAACAACGGAUCUCUUGGUUCCGGCAUCGAUGAAGAACGCAACGAAAUGCGAUAAUUAAUGUGAAUUGCAGAAUUCAGUGAAUCAUCGAGUCUUUGAACGCACAUUGCGCCCCCUGGUAUUCCGGGGGGCAUGCCUGUCCGAGCGUCAUUGCUGCCCUCAAGCACGGCUUGUGUGUUGGGUCGCCGUCCCCUUCCCGGGGGACGGGCCCGAAAGGAAUCGGCGGCACCGCGUCCGGUCCUCGAGCGUAUGGGGCUUUGUCACCCGCUCUGUAGGCCCGGCCGGCGCCUGCCGACCACCAACCUUUUUUUAACCAGGUUGACCUCGGAUCAGGUAGGGAUACCCGCUGAACUUAAGCAUAUCAAUAACCCGGAGGAAUUAAGCAUAUCAAUAAGCGGAGGAA
This 459-nucleotide ribosomal RNA is filed under the name Aspergillus wentii. Its description in RNAcentral is "eukaryotic LSU rRNA". The stretch from base 53 to 206 matches the Rfam family "5.8S ribosomal RNA". Lineage: Eukaryota; Fungi; Ascomycota; Eurotiomycetes; Eurotiales; Aspergillaceae. The record is from RNAcentral.